RNAcentral lists this ribosomal RNA (253 nucleotides) under uncultured bacterium. Its description in RNAcentral is "partial 16S ribosomal RNA". It matches the Rfam family "Bacterial small subunit ribosomal RNA", at positions 524 to 776 of the family's 1533-position model. The record is from RNAcentral.
GACGGGGGGGGCAAGUGUUCUUCGGAAUGACUGGGCGUAAAGGGCUCGUAGGCGGCCAACUAAGUCAGACGUGAAAUCCCUCAGCUUAACUGGGGAACUGCGUCCGAUACUGGAUGGCUUGAGUUUGGGAGAGGGAUGCGGAAUUCCAGGUGUAGCGGUGAAAUGCGUAGAUAUCUGGAGGAACACCGGUGGCGAAGGCGGCAUCCUGGACCGGUAUUGACGCUGAGGCGCGAAAGCUAGGGGAGCAAACGGG